Molecule: ribosomal RNA, 513 nt
Filed under: uncultured Glomus
Lineage: Eukaryota; Fungi; Glomeromycota; Glomeromycetes; Glomerales; Glomeraceae
Description: SSU rRNA
Rfam family: Eukaryotic small subunit ribosomal RNA
Source: RNAcentral
AGCAGCCGCGGUAAUUCCAGCUCCAAUAGCGUAUAUUAAAGUUGUUGCAGUUAAAAAGCUCGUAGUUGAAUUUCGGGAUCAAUUUGCUGGUCGUGCCUUCGGUACGCACUGGUAUUAUUGGUUUCUCCUUUCUGAUGAAUCGCGAUGUCAUUAAUUUGGUGUCGUGGGGAAUCAGGACCGUUACUUUGAAAAAAUUAGAGUGUUUAAAGCAGGCUCACGCUUGAAUACAUUAGCAUGGAAUAAUGAAAUAGGACGUUUGAUUCUAUUUUGUUGGUUUCUAGGAUCGACGUAAUGAUUAAUAGGGAUAGUUGGGGGCAUUAGUAUUCAAUUGUCAGAGGUGAAAUUCUUGGAUUUAUUGAAGACUAACUACUGCGAAAGCAUUUGCCAAGGAUGUUUUCAUUAAUCAAGAACGAAAGUUAGGGGAUCGAAGACGAUCAGAUACCGUCGUAGUCUUAACCAUAAACUAUGCCGACUAGGGAUCGGAUGAUGUUAAUUUUUAAUGACUCAUUCGGC